This 510-nucleotide ribosomal RNA is filed under the name uncultured bacterium. RNAcentral's name for it is "partial 16S ribosomal RNA". It matches the Rfam family "Bacterial small subunit ribosomal RNA", at positions 28 to 507 of the family's 1533-position model. The record is from RNAcentral.
GACGAACGCUGGCGGCGUGCUUAACACAUGCAAGUCGAACGAAGAGCGAUGGACGCUUGCUUCUAUCAAUCUUAGUGGCGAACGGGUGAGUAACGCGUAAUCAACCUGCCCUUCAGAGGGGGACAACAGUUGGAAACGACUGCUAAUACCGCAUACGAUCUAAUCUCGGCAUCGAGGAUAGAUGAAAGGUGGCCCCUACAUGUAAGCUAUCACUGAAGGAGGGGAUUGCGUCUGAUUAGCUAGUUGGAGGGGUAACGGCCCACCAAGGCGAUGAUCAGUAGCCGGUCUGAGAGGAUGAACGGCCACAUUGGGACUGAGACACGGCCCAGACUCCUACGGGAGGCAGCAGUGGGGAAUCUUCCGCAAUGGACGAAAGUCUGACGGAGCAACGCCGCGUGAGUGAUGACGGCCUUCGGGUUGUAAAGCUCUGUUAAUCGGGACGAAAGGCCUUCUUGCGAAUAGUGAGAAGGAUUGACGGUACCGGAAGAGAAAGCCACGGCUAACUACGUG